RNAcentral lists this ribosomal RNA (253 nucleotides) under uncultured bacterium. Its description in RNAcentral is "partial 16S ribosomal RNA". It matches the Rfam family "Bacterial small subunit ribosomal RNA", at positions 524 to 776 of the family's 1533-position model. The record is from RNAcentral.
UACGUAGGCAGCGAGCGUUGUUCGGAAUUACUGGGCGUAAAGAGUGUGUAGGCGGUGUUCCAAGUUCGGUGUGAAGUCUCCCGGCUUAACUGGGAGGGUGCGCCGAAAACUGGAAUGCUCGAGCGUGGGAGAGGAAAGCGGAAUUCCUGGUGUAGCGGUGAAAUGCGUAGAUAUCAGGAGGAACACCAGCGGUGUAGACGGCUUUCUGGACCAUUGCUGACGCUGAGACACGAAAGCGUGGGUAGCAAACAGG